GACGAACGCUGGCGGCGUGCUUAACACAUGCAAGUCGAGCGGUAAGGCCCUUUCGGGGGUACACGAGCGGCGAACGGGUGAGUAACACGUGGGUGACCUGCCUUUAGCUCUGGGAUAAGCCUGGGAAACUGGGUCUAAUACCGGAUAUGACUCCGCGGUGCAUGCUGUGGGGUGGAAAGCCUUGUGCGGCUGGAGAUGGGCCCGCGGCCUAUCAGCUUGUUGGUGGGGUNAUGGCCUACCAAGGCGACGACGGGUAGCCGGCCUGAGAGGGCGACCGGCCACACUGGGACUGAGACACGGCCCAGACUCCUACGGGAGGCAGCAGUGGGGAAUCUUGCGCAAUGGGCGAAAGCCUGACGCAGCGACGCCGCGUGAGGGAUGACGGCCUGGUGU
This 393-nucleotide ribosomal RNA is filed under the name uncultured bacterium. Its description in RNAcentral is "bacterial SSU rRNA". It matches the Rfam family "Bacterial small subunit ribosomal RNA", at positions 28 to 422 of the family's 1533-position model. The record is from RNAcentral.